GCGUGGAUGAAGAAGGCCCUAGGGUUGUAAAGUCCUUUCGUUGGUGAAGAUAAUGACGGUAACCAAAGAAGAAGCCCCGGCUAAUUUCGUGCCAGCAGCCGCGGUAAUACGAAAGGGGCUAGCGUUGUUCGGAAUUACUGGGCGUAAAGCGCACGUAGGCGGCGAUGUAAGUUAGAGGUGAAAUCCCGGGGCUCAACUCCGGAACUGCCUUUAAAACUACAUGGCUAGAGGAUGUGAGAGGAUAGUGGAAUUCCGAGUGUAGAGGUGAAAUUCGU
This 275-nucleotide ribosomal RNA is filed under the name uncultured bacterium. RNAcentral's name for it is "partial 16S ribosomal RNA". It matches the Rfam family "Bacterial small subunit ribosomal RNA", at positions 399 to 691 of the family's 1533-position model. The record is from RNAcentral.